GACGAACGCUGGCGGCGUGCCUAAUACAUGCAAGUCGAACGCUUCUUUCCUCCCGAGUGCUUGCACUCAAUUGGAAAGCGGAGUGGCGGACGGGUGAGUAACACGUGGGUAACCUACCCAUCAGAGGGGGAUAACACUUGGAAACAGGUGCUGAUACCGCAUAACAGUUUAUGCCGCAUGGCAUAAGAGUGAAAGGCGCUUUCGGGUGUCGCUGAUGGAUGGACCCGCGGUGCAUUAGCUAGUUGGUGAGGUAACGGCUCACCAAGGCCACGAUGCAUAGCCGACCUGAGAGGGUGAUCGGCCACGCUGGGACUGAGACACGGCCCAGACUCCUACGGGAGGCAGCAGUAGGGAAUCUUCGGCAAUGGACGAAAGUCUGACCGAGCAACGCCGCGUGAGUGAAGAAGGUUUUCGGAUCGUAAAACUCUGUUGUUAGAGAAGAACAAGGACGUUAGUAACUGAACGUCUCCUGACGGUACCUAAACAGAAAGACACGGCUAACUACGUG
RNAcentral lists this ribosomal RNA (508 nucleotides) under uncultured bacterium. RNAcentral describes it as "partial 16S ribosomal RNA". It matches the Rfam family "Bacterial small subunit ribosomal RNA", at positions 28 to 507 of the family's 1533-position model. The record is from RNAcentral.